This 1834-nucleotide long non-coding RNA is filed under the name Numida meleagris (helmeted guineafowl). RNAcentral's name for it is "lncRNA (ENSNMEG00000001329.1)". The record is from RNAcentral. Lineage: Eukaryota; Metazoa; Chordata; Aves; Galliformes; Numididae.
CCCAUUCAUUCCAUUGGAGCACCCAUGGGUGCCCCUCAAUGCCCAUUCAUUCCAUCGAGCACCCAUGGGUGCCCCCAAAUCCCAUUCAUUCCAUUGGAGCACCCAUGGGUGCCCCCCGACCCCACCUAUGACACAGGAGCACCCAUGGGUGCCCAAGACCCCACACAUUCCAUAGAAGCACCCAUGGGUGCCCCCAAAUCCCAUUCAUUCCAGUGGAGCACCCAUGGGUGCACCCAAAUCCCAUUCAUUCCAUAGGAGCACCCAUGGGUGCCCCUCAAAGCCCAUUCAUUCCAUUGAGCACCCAUGGGUGCCCCCCGACCCCACCUAUUAAACAGGAGCACCCAUGGGUGUCCAAUACCUCAUUCAUUCCAGUGGAGCACCCAUGGGUGCCCCCCGACCCCACUUAUUGCACAGGAGCACCCAUGGGUGCCCUCAGCUCCCAUUUAUUGCACAGGAGCACCCAUGGGUGCCCCAGACCCCAAAUUUUCCAUAGGAGUAUCCAUGGGUGCCCCCAAAGCCCAUUUAUUCCAUUGGAGCACCCAUGGGUGCCCCCAAAUCCUCCAUGGAAGCACCCAUGGGUACCCUAAGUUCCCAUUUAUUCCGCAUCAGCACCCAUGGGUGCCCUCAGCUCCCAUUUAUUGCACAGGAGCACCCACGGGUGCCCCCAGACCCCAUUUAUUGCACAGGAGCACCCACGGGUGCUCCAGACCCCAAAUCCUCCACAGGAGCACCCAUGGGUGCUCCCAGACCCUGAAGAUUAAGAGAGGAGCACCUAUGGGUGCCCCUAGACCCCGUUUAUUGCACAGGAGCACCCAUGGGUGCCCCAGACCCUAAAUCCUUUAAGGCAGCACCCAUGGGUGCCCCCAGACCCCGCACAUUCCGUGGGAGCACCCACGGGUGCCCCCAGAUCCCAAAUCCUCCGCAGGAGCACCCAUGGGUGCCCCCAGAUCCCAAACAGAAGCACCCAUGGGUGCCCCCAAACCCCGAAUCUUUUAAGGCAGCACCCACGGGUGCCCCCAGACCCACGCCUUCCCCAGGAGCACCCACGGGUGGGAGGGUACGGGGGCGCGCGGGCCGUCCCCCCCAUCCCCCCCGCUCCUGCCCCCCAGAGGGGGGUGGGGUUAUUGCAAGGGGGGGGUGGGGGGGUCGGGGGGCACCCAUGGGUGCUACUCGGCCACCUGCACCCCCGCGCAGUUCUCCUUGCUCUCGGAGGUGAUGGCCAGGUACUCGGAGCUGGGGGAGGGGGGGGAGGAAACAACGCGGUCAGCCCCACAACAGGCGGACGACACCGCGACAACACCACGACUGUCACCCCAACGACACCCCAACACCACCCCAAUGGGCACCCCAACAACACCCUCACUGACACCCAGCGGUCACCCCGACAACACCCCAGGUAACACACCAACAACACCCCACCAACACCCUGACAACACCCCAACUAACACACCAACAACACCCCAACAACACCCCGGCAACACCCCACCAACACCCCACCAACACACCAACAACACCCCAACCAACACCUUGACAACAACCCAACUAACACCCCAGCAACACCCCCAUGGACACCCCACCAACACCCCACCAACACCUUGACAACACCCCACCAACACCCCCACCAACACCCCAACAACACCCCAACUAAGACAGCAACAACACCCCAGCAACACCCCGACAACACCCCACCAACACCUCGACAACACACCAACAACACCCCAGCAACACCCCAACUAACACACCAACAACACCCCAACCAACACCUUGACAACAACCCAACUAACACACCGACAACACCCCCAUGGACACCCCACCAACACCUUGAGAACACCCC